This 395-nucleotide ribosomal RNA is filed under the name Proteus mirabilis. RNAcentral's name for it is "bacterial SSU rRNA". It matches the Rfam family "Bacterial small subunit ribosomal RNA", at positions 1 to 392 of the family's 1533-position model. Lineage: Bacteria; Pseudomonadati; Pseudomonadota; Gammaproteobacteria; Enterobacterales; Morganellaceae. The record is from RNAcentral.
UAAUUGAAGAGUUUGAUCAUGGCUCAGAUUGAACGCUGGCGGCAGGCCUAACACAUGCAAGUCGAGCGGUAACAGGAGAAAGCUUGCUUUCUUGCUGACGAGCGGCGGACGGGUGAGUAAUGUAUGGGGAUCUGCCCGAUAGAGGGGGAUAACUACUGGAAACGGUGGCUAAUACCGCAUAAUGUCUACGGACCAAAGCAGGGGCUCUUCGGACCUUGCACUAUCGGAUGAACCCAUAUGGGAUUAGCUAGUAGGUGGGGUAAAGGCUCACCUAGGCGACGAUCUCUAGCUGGUCUGAGAGGAUGAUCAGCCACACUGGGGCUGAGACACGGCCCAGACUCCUACGGGAGGCAGCAGUGGGGAAUAUUGCACAAUGGGCGCAAGCCUGAUGCAGC